This 465-nucleotide ribosomal RNA is filed under the name Vreelandella stevensii. RNAcentral describes it as "partial 16S ribosomal RNA". It matches the Rfam family "Bacterial small subunit ribosomal RNA", at positions 338 to 795 of the family's 1533-position model. Lineage: Bacteria; Pseudomonadati; Pseudomonadota; Gammaproteobacteria; Oceanospirillales; Halomonadaceae. The record is from RNAcentral.
CCUACGGGUGGCUGCAGUGGGGAAUAUUGGACAAUGGGGGCAACCCUGAUCCAGCCAUGCCGCGUGUGUGAAGAAGGCCCUCGGGUUGUAAAGCACUUUCAGUGAGGAAGAACGCCUGGUGGUUAAUACCCAUCAGGAAAGACAUCACUCACAGAAGAAGCACCGGCUAACUCCGUGCCAGCAGCCGCGGUAAUACGGAGGGUGCGAGCGUUAAUCGGAAUUACUGGGCGUAAAGCGCGCGUAGGUGGCUUGAUAAGCCGGUUGUGAAAGCCCCGGGCUCAACCUGGGAACGGCAUCCGGAACUGUCAAGCUAGAGUGCAGGAGAGGAAGGUAGAAUUCCCGGUGUAGCGGUGAAAUGCGUAGAGAUCGGGAGGAAUACCAGUGGCGAAGGCGGCCUUCUGGAUUGACACUGACACUGAGGUGCGAAAGCGUGGGUAGCAAACAGGAUUAGAUACCCGUGUAGUC